ACACAGCCAGGACAAAAAAAAAUGGUCUUCAUUCUCCUUCACGAUAUCUCCGCCUCCGGCUCCGCCGCUAGACCUCCGCUUGUGCCGCAUGUCUAACUCCGCCUCUACCGCCGUAUCUCAACCGCGUGAGUUCCAGCUAGCAAUCCCGUCGUCACACCGAAGGUAGGUUAGGAGCUUCACCAUUGUUGCCCUUUUUGGAUCGCCGCCAGACCUCCGCCUGCGCCGCCAGUCUAACUCCGCCUCCGCGGGAGUCCCAGCUACCAAUCCCGCCGUCACACGGACGGUAGGUUACGACUGGCGUUUUUUGGUUAUAUUUUCAGCCGGAUUCAGAGAGCCUGACUGUUGUCUUCGUUCUUCUCCGGCACCGGCGACGGCGAAGUUUGUACUCCAUGCAUGCCUCGCAGUGGACUCCCUCGACAUGGGCCUAUGAUUCGUACAUACAUCCGUUCGAAGAUCAGGCCCAUCAUCGGAAGAACGAUUCUGCUUCUAGCCCAGAUUAGUGUAUCUAACAGCGCCGCAUAAUGAUGGAUUGAUGGUGGUAAUUUCGACCCCUUCAUCAUCCCUGCAAUUAUAUUCCGCCCGUUAUUAUGACGAUUAAUUGGAGCGUUACAAUCACUUCUCCCCUCUCGUUGAUAUAAAUAGGUGGAGGCAGCACUCUAUCUUUCCUCAGUCCUUCCAUCUCACAUUCCACCCCUCAUUUGUUGACUGGAGAUGAUAUCUGCUUAGGUUUUUUCUUUCUGCUUGCGUGCAAUUUUAGUUUUGUGCUGUAACUACAUUCCGGCCAGAAUUAGGUUGCAAAAUGGCAUAUUGUUACUUGUUCCAGGGAUUAUUGUCUUUCUUUGAUCCAAGGAUUGUCGUCUUCAUUUGUUCCAGACUUUUAUUCACGGAUUUCUGAAAACAGCUAUAUCACAUUCAUUUUCCAACAUGGCUACUGGACAGGUAAGCUUACUGAAACAUUGGAUUGUACCACUGUUUAUAUAUUCUUUGUUAUAUUUUCCUCCAUUUGAAUUAUCACCUUUAUACUGCAUGGACCUACUUAGUUUUUUAGUUACAACAACUUUAUGCAUCUUGCUGCACCCUGCAUACAACAUUGUAGUCGGCAGAAAAGAAGCUGCAGAAAACUAGAGCAGCUUAAUUUAGAAGUUAACUUGUUAAGAAAGUAUCUUGCUUAUUCAGAUUUUCUUAUUUUCCAAAUUCCUAUGCAGUUCACUGCUGAGGUAGCAUCCAUUUUUGUCGAAACUCGUGCUUGCAUGUUAGCACUAAAUUAGGAUGCUCUUUCACAAUUCUGUUGCAUGGUGACAAUGGUUAGUCUUUCACCUAAUUGUCUAUGACUAAGUGCUCUUGGUGUCAAUUCUUAAAAGUUCUGAAAUAUUUAUUCUGUACUUUGGAUUACUCGUAUUCCACAUGUCUUCUAUGGGUUCAGUGCCAGCGAAUAUACUUGGGAGCACUUUAUGUCAAUGGUUAUGGAAAAUCUGUAUAUAAUGCCAUACUGGUUUAGUGGUUGUGUUUCUUGUGAGAUUUAGCUUGUUCAAAUAUACAGAAGAUUUGGUAACACAAAAAUUAUUUACGUUGUUUUGUUAAGCCGGUGCAGGAUCCAUCAAUGUCAACAAACGGUCUUAUCUGGAAGAUAUCAUUUAGACUGACAUGUCUACGAUUGAUGUCAUGGAUUAUUCAGUAGUUCAAAAUUCCUCUUGUGAGAUUUGUUUUGUUGGUAUUCUAGAACUUUGUAUCAUUCUUAUUUUCCCCUGAAUUUAUGGGCUUUAGACCUCCAGUGUUAGCGAAUAUUCUGCAGAGUAUUUUCAGUGGUUACGAAAAUCUGUAGAUAAUGGCCACCAGUUUUCAGUGGUCAUGUGAAAUCCAUACUUAGUGCCCACCUUAUUUAGCGAGAAGUGUACAUGAAUAUUUCUGGCAAGACUUAGUUUUGAAAUAUACAGAAGAUCUGGCAACACAUAGUUUUUAGCGUUGCUUUGUUAACCUGGUAUAGGAACAUCAAUGCCAGUGAACGGAGUUACCUGGAAACAUGGAUGAUUCAAUAACUCAAUCAGAAAAUUCCUCAAUUUGUUUUGUUGGUCUCGCACACAAUAAAACUUUACCUCGGAUUUACUGUCAGACUGGCCUGGUAAAGCAUCCAGAGAAGGCAAAUAAUAUCUUUCAGGUAUACACAAAGCCCAAGAAUUAGUUAUUACUAUGAUAUUUAUUUACCAUAAUAUGGUUUCAUAGGUACAGUAAUGCUAUGUGUAUCUGAAGUGGUUAGUUAUGGAGCAUCCUUUUCUUGAAAUAAUAUCCAACUUCUAAGGAAGAAAAUUACAUAUACUGUGCUACCUAGAAAUAACAUUGUUUUUAGCCUGUAAGGUGACGUUGGACUGAAAAUCCAUGAUUAGUAUGUUCCUUCAUGUGCUUAUUGUAUACCUUGAAUUACGAUAUACUCACAUUUGAAAAGGUGAAACCAAAGGCUAUAAUGGUGGCAUGAUCUAAUACUAAUAUUUAUCAUUAAUUUAUCUUUUCCUGGUUCCUUCUUUCCAGGUCAAUCUGGAGACUAAAUUUACUUGCAGCUCAGGCAUUGCAAGAACACCAACACAUGAAGUUGCAUCUACUGACGCAAACUUGCUAAUUGUGGGAAGAUCAAGGAGUACAUAUGGCAUAUAACAGAUCCCUCCGAGGUGCAAACUACUGCUGUGUGUAUCCUCCGAACAACUGAUCAGUGAGUGCUAGGCUGUCAGAAAGUAGUACUCAAUUUCACAGUUGUGACCAUUUUAGGAAUCCAUUUGAGAAAUACAAGAUGCACCAUCCAGUACGUAUCUCGGCAAGAUGCAUCGUUCAGUAGUUAGACUGGGCUGUUGCUGAGAAAUGAACCUAGAUUCACGUUUUUCUUUUAAAGUCAUGAACUUACUCCGUAAUAUUGGUCUGAUCAGUUAUUUAUUUUCAAUGUUCAGUACCUUGAAAAGACAUGUCCUAUCACCAAUAUAGCACGUUUAAUUUGUUUCA
Molecule: long non-coding RNA, 2985 nt
Organism: Lolium perenne
Lineage: Eukaryota; Viridiplantae; Streptophyta; Magnoliopsida; Poales; Poaceae
Source: RefSeq, a predicted model, not a curated record